CAGCAGCCACGGGAAUACAGAGGGUGCGAGCGUUAAUCGGAUUUACUGGGCGUAAAGCGUGCGUAGGCGGCUUCUUAAGUCGGAUGUGAAAUCCCUGAGCUUAACUUAGGAAUUGCAUUCGAUACUGGGAAGCUAGAGUAUGGGAGAGGAUGGUAGAAUUCCAGGUGUAGCGGUGAAAUGCGUAGAGAUGUGGAGGAAUACCGAUGGCGAAGGCAGCCCCCUGGCCAAUACUGACGCUCAUGCACGAAAGCGUGGGGAGCAAACAGGAUUAGAUACCCCCGUAGUCCCUGUCUCUUAUACC
Molecule: ribosomal RNA, 301 nt
Filed under: uncultured bacterium
Lineage: Bacteria
Description: partial 16S ribosomal RNA
Rfam family: Bacterial small subunit ribosomal RNA
Source: RNAcentral